Molecule: ribosomal RNA, 497 nt
Filed under: uncultured bacterium
Lineage: Bacteria
Description: partial 16S ribosomal RNA
Rfam family: Bacterial small subunit ribosomal RNA
Source: RNAcentral
GAUGAACGCUGGCGGCGUGCCUAAUACAUGCAAGUCGAGCGAACAGACGAGGAGCUUGCUCCUCUGACGUUAGCGGCGGACGGGUGAGUAACACGUGGAUAACCUACCUAUAAGACUGGGAUAACUUCGGGAAACCGGAGCUAAUACUGGAUAAUAUAUUGAACCGCAUGGUUCAAUAGUGAAAGACGGUUUUGCUGUCACUUUUAGAUGGAUCCGCGCCGGAUUAGCUAGUUGGUAAGGUAACGGCUUACCAAGGCGACGAUGCGUAGCUGACCUGAGAGGGUGAUCGGCCACACUGGAACUGAGACACGGUCCAGACUCCUACGGGAGGCAGCAGUAGGGAAUCUUGCGCAAUGGGCGAAAGCCUGACGGAGCAACGCCGCGUGAGUGAUGAAGGUCUUCGGAUCGUAAAACUCUGUUAUUAGGGAAGAACAAAUGUGUAAGUAACUAUGCACGUCUUGACGGUACCUAAUGAGAAAGCCACGGCUAACUACGUG